Molecule: long non-coding RNA, 835 nt
Filed under: Trifolium pratense (red clover)
Lineage: Eukaryota; Viridiplantae; Streptophyta; Magnoliopsida; Fabales; Fabaceae
Description: long non-coding RNA (TPRA_LNC011676)
Source: RNAcentral
AGCUUAAAUUGCAUAUCAUUGUUUGUUAAUGACUAAUAUGUGCAUAUGCUUAAUUCAUAUCUUUAAUGCACUCUUUGUUCUUACACUUUUUCAUGAUUUUUGUUCAUAUAAUGUAAAAUCAUCUCUUUCAAAAUAUCAUGCUAAGUGUUAAAUGAAUGAACAUUGUUGCUAUGCAAAAUCAUCUUUCUACACCUUUGCAAGGAAUACAUUUUCAAAAAUGCUAUACUCAUAUUGCUAUCAAAGUUUUUGUUAAGGGUUAUUUUAUCAAGUUAGAUUUUCUCCAUAUGUCUUAGUCACAUUUUUUCAAUGAUCAAUUUUAUUUUGACAUANNNNNNNNNNNNNNNNNNNNNNNNNNNNNNNNNNNGGAGUUAGUCUCUUAAUUAUCCUUCAUGAUAGACCAAAACUUUUAGAACAAGAAAAAUGACAUAAAACUCAUAAUUUUGAUAAACAAUUAUAUGUCAUAUUUGUUCUUACAUAAGUCCGGCUUAUAGUAUAAUUUCUUUUUUAUGAAAACACAUUUUUUCUAUAAGUCUUUUAUAUGUGCACCGCUCUCAAUUUAAAACUUUGGAUGAAUCCAAUUUUGUUGCACAUCUUGAUUAGCCUAUAGUUUGCUUAAUUGAUUAUUAAGUAGAACUUUUUGAACAUGGCUACUCAAAAAUUGAGAUUUUGUAAAAGAUCAUCCUUCAAAGGUUUUAAAUGAAUAUCCAUUUUUUGUUGGAUUUAUUAUUUGAAGGAUUUUAACAAGAGAACAUAUGAUUGGUCUUCAUGAGAAUAAUUUGUGUGUCUACUCUCCAUAAAAUUAGAAUUUGGUCUAAGAAUAAUAGUUCUUUCACAU